RNAcentral lists this ribosomal RNA (547 nucleotides) under Trichuris trichiura (human whipworm). RNAcentral's name for it is "16S ribosomal RNA". It matches the Rfam family "Bacterial large subunit ribosomal RNA", at positions 1779 to 2700 of the family's 2925-position model. The record is from RNAcentral. Lineage: Eukaryota; Metazoa; Nematoda; Enoplea; Trichinellida; Trichuridae.
AAUUCGGCAYAUAGUAUACUACUGUUUAAUAAAAACAUUGCAAUAUUGAUAUAUUGUAAAUUUCCUGCCCAAUGAUAAAUUAAAUGGCCGCAGUAAUCUGACUGUGCAAAGGUAGCGUAAUCAUUUGUUUAAUAAUUUUAAACUAGAAUGAAAGGAACAAAGUAUACUAACUGUUAAUUAAAAUUUAACAUAAAUCUUUGGCUGAGUGCAAAAACUUAGAAUAAAAAUAUAAACGAGAAGACCCUGGGAAUUUUAAUAUUUUUAUUGGGAUAAUAUAAAACCAUACUUAGCUAAGCAACAAAUAACAUUAAUAAAAAGAAAUUACCCCAGGGAUAACAGCACAAUAGUCAUUAAGAGACCUAAUCUCAGUGAUUGAUUAUGACCUCGAUGUUGAAUCAUUUGUACAUAUAGUUUGCAGAAGAAUUUUAUUCUCGUCUGUUCGACGAUAGACAUUACGUGAUUUGAGUUUAAACCGUUGUAAAACAGGUUGGAUUCUCUUUUAUUUUUUUAUAUUUGAUCUAGACUUAGUACGAAAGGAUCAGUAUAG